Oxyura jamaicensis (ruddy duck) is the source of this 5302-nucleotide long non-coding RNA. RefSeq lists it as uncharacterized. The transcript is spliced from 2 exons. The record is from RefSeq and is a predicted model, not a curated record. NCBI's taxonomy places the organism in Eukaryota, Metazoa, Chordata, Aves, Anseriformes, Anatidae.
AUGACAUGAUCUUUUCAUUCAGCAGUUAUUUCUGUUGUUUGGUCAUUUUGUUUAAUCUCUUAGAGGAACAAGGAAAGGGGAAUAAUCCUCCUCUGAAAAAUAAUGCUCUUAACACAUCUGUUUGCCAAUAAUAAAUUCAGCUUAGCAUAUGCAGUGAUCGACAGAAAAAAAAACUUUAUCGAGUGGGCAAAGGCAACAGCAAAGAAACACCAGGAUCAGUCUCAAGUAGCAGUAGCAGGUGUUCUGUCUCUUUGCCCUAAGGGUUUUGUCUUGCCUGAUAUCCUUGUAGCUUUACGUUGUAUAGUUAACUCAUUUUUUUCUUAUGCCUAUAAUACAUUAUAAUAUAUAAGUUCAUCAGUGGUGAUUUUGGAAUUUUAACACUUAACACUUACCUGUUUAAAUUGUUUCCUCUCCUUCUGAGCUGUUCAUUCACCUACCUUAUUUAUUAUUGGAUAAUAUAUACCUAUACACAGAAUUCUUAGCAAAUCCACCACCUUAGAAGUUCAAAAAGCAACUGAGUUAAUUCCUUCUUCAUAACAAAUAAUGCAGCAUGUUAUUUUUAUGUACCAUUAGGAAAAAAAAUGAUAGAGGAAAUGAACCAGGGGAACAGAAAAACAAAAUCAGAAAUGAAAUCCUGGUUUCUAAUGCAGAAGUGUAAUGCCAAGAAACUGCUCCAGAGAAACCAACUAACUGCCAGCUUUUCUACCUUUUGCCAAGAAAACAUUGCUAUGUUCACUGAUCCUGUAGGAUCAGUGAACUGAGUAUAUUCUGAAACAACUCUUUCUGAUUUGUGCCAUUUUCUGUGAAAGGGGAGGGAGCUUUAUUCUUAUAAUACACCAAUAAAGAGAUGGUUUUGCUCAAAAAAGUAGAUAGAAGGGCAAUCUUGGUUUAAUCAUGUGCAUGCAUCCUUUAAAGAAAAACAACAAGCAAAACCCACACAAUUGGAAAGAGAAUUCUUGUUGCCUACAGACCGUUGGUGGGAAGCACAGGGCUAUAAUUUGCAAUUUGCAUCCCUGAAAUGACUGAUGUGGAGGGCAAAAAGUCUUAAUGGUUGUUUUUUAAUGCCUUAUACUAUAUUAUCAGACUGCACUCUUGCUGACUCUGGUUGUUUUCUUUAACAAAAUUUAAAAUGAAUCCUUAAUUCUAGUGUUUUGUAAUAUUUUCUUGCAAGGAUUUUUAAUUUGUCAUUACAAUUACCCAUGCUAGUCAAGAUAUUUGCAUUAGCUGUACACCAAUAAAACAUCAGCUCUGUAUUUCUCCUCCCACAUUUUAUCUUGUUCAACCCUCAGUCACCAAGAUUUAGUAUGAGCUGACUAUUUCAUUCAUUCACUUCCACUUUGGCAUUUUCUUGUAAAGCUUUACUUUACUUAGGAUUGCUUUUCUCCAUUCCCCAAACUUUUUGCAUUUCAUAGGUUAAUGAAGCACUGGCUUUACUUCCUUAACUCAUUGUUUGUGAUGUGGCUGGCUGUGCUAGGCAGACAGUGGCCCCUUCAGACAUGAGGCCUAAUAGUGCUUAGGAUAUCAUGAAAAGUCUGGAUCACCUAAUAAAAGUGCAAGAGAGCACUUGUUUCCAAGACAGUUUCCAAUUUUUGGCAGAGGGAAUUUGGAAUCCCCAUGGAGGACACCUAAGCUUCCCUUUUACUCUCAAUAGCUCCCUUCUGCAUGCAUCCUAAAUACCUUCCUAUCAAACCAAUCAAAGUAGAAACAUCACUGUCAAGUCUUACAGUCUCUCUGAACUCCAUUCAACUCAUCCUUACGCUCAGAGCUCACCAAAUUAAAUCUACACCAACUUCAACUGCCCUCACUCUUCUGUAGCAAGCUCUGUAAUAGCAUGGGCUUGUCAGCACUGGGAGCCCCAGCCAGCUGGUUGCCUCCACUGUCCAGCUGCAGCACAAACAAGUAUCCAGAGAAUGAAGGAAUACAAACUAAAAAUUAUAUUUUUUUUCUUCACUGCUGCAUCAUGUAGCAUGGGUUUUGUAGCAUUAUAUUGAGCCAAACACCAAGAAAAUUUAUCUUAGCACGUUAUUGAGAUGUCAUUAGCACGCUUGUAUUGCAUUUUGCUUUGCUUUUAGCCAAGUGCAAACACUUAAAACAAACAAACAACAACAACAACAACAAAAAAACAGGUGCCUUUUAUUAAUCUGUAUAUGCAAUGGUAUGAUGAGUGCUCCGUUUAUUAAUGAUUCUAGACUUCCACAUUUUGACUGCAAAUGGGAUUUCAUCUACAUAUUGUUUACAUGGAAAUUUUUUCCAAAGUUAAUGCACAUGACUUCCAUACACAUCAGUAAUAUCCAAAAAGUUUCAUAAAAAUUAAAUGGUGCAUUUAAAAAGUCUGAGCUCUUCAUUUUCCAUUUCAAAAUGUGGUUUCCGUCACCAGACAUUUUACAAUGCCUGUCUAUGCUAUGCUGUUUAAACUGUAUUUCUAUAGAGUUUAAGCCAUAGUAGUGAACUUUCUUACUAAAGAUGCAAGGUUUACAGGAGUAAAACUUUCCCUAACAAACAGCAUUUUUAGUGCAAUUGCAAUUUUUGUGGUUGAGGCAGGUUUUUUUUUUUUUUUUUUCUCUAUCUAAAUGCUAAAAUAUUAAUCAUUUUUUGGUUUAGUCAUUAAUUUCUUCAAUAUUAAUUGUAUUACCUAUAAUUUAGAAGAAUAUUCUAUUUGGUACAAAGAGGUCUAAAAAACAGCAGUAAAAUGCCUGCUUGAAACUAAGGUCAUUCUCUAACUGUUUUGCUGUAAUUUGGUAAAAUUAUCCACUUGGAAUAUUUCUUCAAAGAAGCUGGUUGGAGGGGCAGGAAACAGAUCCUAGAGUAUGAUAUUACUGGCUCUCAAACUCCACUAUUUCCAGUUUUACUCCUCAGGAAAACUGAAGUUAUUUACCUAUUCAAAAAGCACACAAUGUAAUUAAGAGUGUAAUAAUAAAUUAAUUUUAGACAUGGACACAUAAUGUCUGACAUUAUGAGAGAGAGAUAUAUAGAAAAUAAAGAUAGCUUCAGAGGAAGAGUAGUGUUAAUCAUUACUGAUUAUCACCCCAGGGACUGAUGACUGACCAUUAGCAAGGAGGCACUGAGGAGGCCAGCUGGGGAGAGCGUGUGCAGGUUUGGUAGACAAAAAAAAAAAAAAAAAAAAAAAAAGAGAUAACCCCUGUGAGAUCAAGUCAGCCUUUCUCACAUGCAGUAGCUGGUACAAACAAACUUGUGUUCUUGCUGUUUAUAAGCAAUCCUCACUUCAGGCCCAUUAAGGAAAACACAGUCUGUUUAGCACCACACUCCCAGUCAAAGCCCAAAGAGAUCUCACUGACUAAGGGGCUCUGUGCUAGCGACCUAACCAAAUGCAGGUUUUCAUUCUUGUGUUAGCCAGAAGUUUGGUAGCUGAGAAUAGUCAGCUCAUAAUGCAUUUUGCAUUCAAUCCCUUCACCCUUCUUCUUGGCUGUACCUUGGGGACAGAGAGGAACUUGAGUGGAAAUAAUGCUGUUGCAUGUAUCUGGGGCUAAGCUGAGAAACCUUUUUGUGCCUGAAGUAUUCUGUAAAUGUCAACAGCAUCUGUGGCAGAGAGCAUGACCUCCAGCCACCGAGUGGCUCCAAGCUAGGAAAACAGCUACUUCCAGAGAGCAACUCAGCCUUUGGGAAGGCUGAACUCUGAAAAGUUAUUUACUCUGAACAUAACUUUCUGAUGAUAAUAUGACAUCUCAAGAUGACUACACCCCAAAUUUACAUGCCAGUACCUAAAGUAUGUGGUCUGUGAAUCACUAAAUUAAGCUGCACGUGUUAGCAAAAGAAUGAGGAAGUAUUAUUCAACCUUGCAUAGAGAUUUUUUUAGUCUAUGCACAUUAACAAGUCUUUGGAGUUGAAGACUCCAGGAGACUUUACUUGUGCUGUUUUCAACAUCUUCCUCUUUGAUCCCUUCCCAUGUAGAGCAGCAGCAGCUGUCAAAAUGUGUGGGUUUACUGCUGACAGAGUCACUCUGGAGUAAAUAUCUGCCCAUACCUGACACCCACACUCCACUUCAUCUGGAGGUGGUGAGUUGCUUUGGUUUCCUUCUGUUUUGGCUUGUUUAGUUGACAAGUAUCAGAUCAGUCAUUCACCAGACAGAAACUCUGCUACUAAUAUACCUCCAAAACAAAUUCAGAAGCUCAGCCAGGCCACUCUUGUUUUCCUGGCUUGAUGUUGUCCUGUUCUCUGUUGCUGAUGAGCGAGUGACUGAUACCAAUGGAUGUGAAUAUGCCCAGGUGGCAAAUUAACGAUCAUUGCUUCUCUUCCUGACACCAGCUGAUUAAUUCUUGUACUUCUGAGCCAAGCUUUGCUUUCUUGACAGUUUGUUUAGCAGAGAAUGAACAGUUAGCUGUUGGUGCUGAUUCAUUCCUGCUCACCUGUUAUUUCUCAAGCUGUCAGUCGUGAUUCCAAAUGCAACUCUUCAGAUUUUUACUACUGAGCAGCUCCACUUGCUAAGUAGCAAAUAAAUUAUCCAUAGUGUUAUGUCUCAUUACCUAACCAACUGUUAUAACCCAUUCUGACCUUUGUUAGUACAAAGCCUUAUUGGGACAACUCCCAAGAUGAAUGGCCCAAGGAGUAAAUGUUAUGAAACUGCACUUUGUGAACACAUGGCUCCCUGAGAUAAUGCUUCUAUAAAUCUCUUUGAUGGUGGGGUGCCUUAGCUAUGCCAGCACAAUACAGCAAAAGGGUGCACAAGGGUGGGAAUGAACAGCAGGAGGGGAAAACAGGGACUCUCCAACCUUGUUUGAGCAGCACAGUUGCUGUGUGCUUAGCCAUGACCUAAAUUCAGCACUCAAAUACUCCAUAGUAAGAGGUGGAAACAACAUUCUGUAAAAGAAUGUAAGUUUUCAAAAAUUUGCUUCCCAGCAGACUUGAUUUUAAGGUGUAAUGAAACCUAGCCACAUUUUUUUUUUUUAAUGACAACUGGUGUGGUGGUUCCAAUUUCAAACGAUAUUAGCAGUUUUGAAAGGCUGAAAAGAAUGGGAAAGCUAUGGGAAAGCUCCCAUUUGGCUUUUUUCAUAAAGCAUGACAUAGUCCAUCUCCAGACUCUUACAACAUUUGGAUCAUUAUCUGUAUAACCCUUGUCUUUUUUCCAUAAUUCUGCAUGCUUGUAUCUGAGUGGUUGAUUAUUUAUACUUCAACAUUUAGGUUUGUGUCUUCCAUCCUAAAUUGUAUCUUAUCUUUUUCAGAUUACUUAUUGAAUUUGUAAAGAAUAUUCUAAUUUAUAGUCCUGCCUUUCAGCGUGCUGGGAGCUCUUCUCCAUCUUGUAAGACUUUAAUAAUUUUAUUCUAACUUCCAAUUCUAGAUGUUAGGG